This 183-nucleotide ribosomal RNA is filed under the name uncultured bacterium. RNAcentral describes it as "partial 16S ribosomal RNA". It matches the Rfam family "Bacterial small subunit ribosomal RNA", at positions 1318 to 1500 of the family's 1533-position model. The record is from RNAcentral.
GCACGAAGCUGGAAUCGCUAGUAAUCGCGAAUCAGAAUGUCGCGGUGAAUACGUUCCCGGGUCUUGUACACACCGCCCGUCACACCAUGGGAGUCAGCAACGCCCGAAGUCAGUGACCCAACCGAAAGGAGGGAGCUGCCGAAGGCGGGGCAGGUAACUGGGGUGAAGUCGUAACAAGGUACC